GAUGAACGCUGACGGCGUGCUUAACACAUGCAAGUCGAACGAUGAAGCCCAGCUUGCUGGGUGGAUUAGUGGCGAACGGGUGAGUAACACGUGAGUAACCUGCCCUUAACUCUGGGAUAAGCCUGGGAAACUGGGUCUAAUACCGGAUAGGAGCGUCCACCGCAUGGUGGGUGUUGGAAAGAUUUAUCGGUUUUGGAUGGACUCGCGGCCUAUCAGCUUGUUGGUGAGGUAAUGGCUCACCAAGGCGACGACGGGUAGCCGGCCUGAGAGGGUGACCGGCCACACUGGGACUGAGACACGGCCCAGACUCCUACGGGAGGCAGCAGUGGGGAAUAUUGCACAAUGGGCGCAAGCCUGAUGCAGCGACGCCGCGUGAGGGAUGACGGCCUUCGGGUUGUAAACCUCUUUCAGUAGGGAAGAAGCGAAAGUGACGGUACCUGCAGAAGAAGCACCGGCUAACUACGUG
Molecule: ribosomal RNA, 466 nt
Filed under: uncultured bacterium
Lineage: Bacteria
Description: partial 16S ribosomal RNA
Rfam family: Bacterial small subunit ribosomal RNA
Source: RNAcentral